CAAAGGGGGCCUGUGUCCGGUUUCUCAUUUGCUGAGCGGCAGCAAGGCUCUGUCUAAACACUCGCUCUCACUGGUACACCAGGAGUGUGCGCCCUUUCCAAGAAGCCGCCCAAGUCCCGGAGCUCCGGGGCGGCCCAGGAACCCGGCUUUGCCCGGCCCGCUGACUGAGCGCUCUCCCGGCCUCAAGAAACGCGACACUUUUAUAAGGGAUUGGACGAGAUUUCUCUUGGAGGAGCCUCUCAGUCGGAUGCAGGUCUUGGCUAAUGUCACACGUGUCGCAGGAGCUGGGGAGCCGUCCCUGGGCCACACUGGCCGCGCUCAGCUAGCCUUUGUUUCCCCUACCCGACCCCCGCCCAGCGCUCACGUGGCCGUGGUUUUGCCUGCUAAAAAUAGAUGAGCGAUUGGUCUGAAGCUACAAGAGAGCCAAGAUGAUGCAAAAACUCUGUAGAAAAUCUAUGCCUUGGACAGUGAGCUGACCUUAGAUGCCAGGACAACAAAAUAUCAAAAUCACCUUCCUAAGGACCCAGCCUUGGUGAACAUAUUUGCCUAAUCAAAUGUCGAGUACACGCUCAGAAAAGAUUUUUGGACUUAUGAAAUUAUUUCUAUAAAAAUUCUUACCAAGAGACUCCUGGUGUCCUGCAUCCUGUCUGUCACACAGUCUUCAACCUCCCUACCAAGGAAAAAGACAGCCGAAAGAAGCGCGCGCCCCGCUCUGCGCAUGCGUGGACGAAUUUGCACGCUGUGUGAUUCCCGGUCCGCUCCCACCCGGGCCUCAUGGAACCCAUCGUGGGUCUGUUUGACGGUCACCCCACAUCCGAGUGAUGCAAAACGAGAACAGUAACCCGUCUCAAGAAGAGACUUCAAACUUCCCUUUUGAGUCAACUGGAAAUUUGGACAAAACUUCUGUUGACAUUAUAUCUGCCCCUUUCACUUUCGGUUCACGGAGACGCACUGACAUUUCUGAAAGGAUGUGGCUCUUCCUAGUGUGGCAAACGAUACAUUCAUGCCUAUGCACUUACAGGGAUGGUCUUUGUUCCUUGUCAUGAUCAAAUGCUCUGUUUUCUUGACUCUCCAGCCAAAAGUAAUCCUCUUUUCUUUUCAACUCUUUCAGCACUCCAUUUUUUCUUGAUUCAGUUAACAAACACGCAGGCAUUGUUAUUCUACCAGGCACUGUUAUUUGUACCGGGUGGUGGUGGUCAGCAGGACCAAUUUAUUGGUCAAUAAAUUACGAUGAAAACCCCUGACUUCGUGGAGCUUGUAUUAUCUACAGGUAGACAGGCCCCAAACACAAAAAGCUAACAUGUAUAGUAUGUUACAGGUUGACAGGUCAUGGAGAAUAAAACAGGGAUAGAGCUACGGAGUGUGGGAGGAUGGUAAAGCUUUUAUUUAU
Long non-coding RNA from Lynx canadensis (Canada lynx), 1390 nucleotides. RefSeq lists it as uncharacterized. Lineage: Eukaryota; Metazoa; Chordata; Mammalia; Carnivora; Felidae. The transcript has 5 exons. The record is from RefSeq and is a predicted model, not a curated record.